Molecule: ribosomal RNA, 1485 nt
Filed under: uncultured Bordetella sp.
Lineage: Bacteria; Pseudomonadati; Pseudomonadota; Betaproteobacteria; Burkholderiales; Alcaligenaceae
Description: partial 16S-23S ribosomal RNA intergenic spacer
Rfam family: Bacterial small subunit ribosomal RNA
Source: RNAcentral
GGUUUGAUUCUGGCUCAGAUUGAACGCUGGCGGGAUGCUUUACACAUGCAAGUCGAACGGCAGCACGGACUUCGGUCUGGUGGCGAGUGGCGAACGGGUGAGUAAUGUAUCGGAACGUGCCUAGUAGCGGGGGAUAGACCAUGAAAGUAGCUAAUACCGCAUACCUUCGUGGGGAAAGCGGGGACCUUUCGGGCCUCGCACUAUUAGAGCGGCCGAUAUCGGAUUAGCUAGUUGGUGGGGUAACGGCUCACCAAGGCGACGAUCCGUAGCUGGUUUGAGAGGACGACCAGCCACACUGGGACUGAGACACGGCCCAGACUCCUACGGGAGGCAGCAGUGGGGAAUUUUGGACAAUGGGAACCUGAUCCAGCCAUCCUGCGUGCGAUGGUGGAAGGCCUUCGGGUUGUAAAGCACUUUGGCAGGAAAGAAACGGCACGGGAUAAUACCCCGUGCAACUGACGGUACCUGCAGAAUAAGCACCGGCUAACUACGUGCCAGCAGCCGCGGUAAUACGUAGGGUGCAAGCGUUAAUCGGAAUUACUGGGCGUAAAGCGUGCGCAGGCGGUUCGGAAAGAAAGAUGGAAAUCCUGGAGCUUUAACUUUGAACUGCAUUUUUAACUGCUUCCCCGAGCUAGAGUGUGUCAGGAGGGAGGUGGAAUUCCGCGUGUAGCAGUGAAAUGCGUAGAUAUGGAGGAACACCGAUGGCGAAGGCAGCCUCCUGGGAUAACACUGACGCUCAUGCACGAAAGCGUGGGGAGCAAACAGGAUUAGAUACCCUGGUAGUCCACGCCCUAACGAUGUCAACUAGCUGUUGGGGCCUGGCCUGGGUAGCGCAGCUAACGCGGUGGUUGACCGCCUGGGGAGUACGGUCGCAAGAUUAAAACUCAAAGGAAUUGACGGACCCGCACAAGCGGUGGAUGAGCGUGAUUAAUUCGAUGCAACGCGAAAACCUUACCUACCCUUGACAUGUCUGGAAUCCUGAAGAGAUUUGUAUGCUCGCAAGAGAACUGAACACAGGUGCUGCAUAUUGUCGUCAGCUCGUGUCGUGGAGAUGUUGGGUUAAGUCCCGCAACGAGCGCAACCCUUGUCAUUGGUUGCUACGAAAGGGCACUGACGAGACUGCCGGUGACAAACCGGAGGAAGCGAUGACGCCAAGUCCUCAUGGCCCUUAUGGGUAGGGCUUCACACGUCAUACAAUGGUCGGGACAGAGGGUCGCCAACCCGCGAGGGGGAGCCAAUCCCAGAAACCCGAUCAGUCCGGAUCAGUCUGCAACUCGACUGCGUGAAGUCGGAAUCGCUAGCAAUCGCGGAUCAGCAUGUCGUGUGAAUACGUUCGGGUCUUGUACACACCGCCCGUCACACCAUGGGAGUGGGUUUUACCAGAAGUAGUUAGCCUAACCGGGCGAGGGCGACUACCACGGUAGGAUUCAUGACUGGGGUGAAGUCGUAACAAGGUAGCUCUUUGGCAUUACCUGAUGCCCUCGU